This 255-nucleotide long non-coding RNA is filed under the name Arachis ipaensis. RNAcentral's name for it is "long non-coding RNA (AIPA_LNC001155)". The record is from RNAcentral. Lineage: Eukaryota; Viridiplantae; Streptophyta; Magnoliopsida; Fabales; Fabaceae.
AUAGAGGUAACCUCCCACCCCAACUCUAUUAUCAGCUUUUAGGUUUUCUUGCAUUUAUACAAGUGUACAAGAGCAAAGAAUUAAUGAUUUCAAAAAGAAAAGAUAACUUAAACAUAACACUAGAAUAAAUUUGCACCCUUGGUUUGAUCCCUUGUAAAAUAUUUAAGCAACUGAAAAAUGCACCAAACCAUGUAUGGCAGGGUAACAGCCGAAUAGAAAGUUUUGUUAUCACUGGGACUGUUUAAUUGGCACCUA